Molecule: long non-coding RNA, 1143 nt
Organism: Homo sapiens (human)
Lineage: Eukaryota; Metazoa; Chordata; Mammalia; Primates; Hominidae
Exons: 3
Source: RefSeq, a predicted model, not a curated record
GGGGUCUGUCUGCAGCAAAAUUGUGAUGUAAGCAAAAUUGGUUUUGGCUCCCUCCCCACCCUUAGCCUUUUGACCUGUAGUGUCUUGAUUUUACAGAGUCCUCUAGAUGCUUUCCUUUAACCUAUCCUUUAUUUAUUUUUCAAGUAGGGUUUUUAGUUCUCUUUAUUUAUGCUCUCAUUCUUCAGAGAAAAUGUUCAUCUCAUCGAUUGGUUUGUGAUCGUAUGAGAAUGGGCCUUAAUUUGUUAAUGUUUUAUCACUUUCCGAGUAAUAUAUUUACAUUUAACGAGAAUUUGAGGGACAGCAACUUAAUACAAAAGGCAUUAACUUUUUAAUAGUAGGGAUCCUAGAUCCUGUGACAAGUUACUAGAUGUUGCCAAGAUUGCCAAUUACCUCCUCCAGCAUGUCUUCUCGCCUUCUUCCUCAGUGACAGAAUCUUGAUUUCAUUUGAAGUGAUAAUGCACCCAGAACAAAGAAUGCUACCAGUCUCCUUUGAAGCUAUGUUUGGCCAUAUGACUAAGUUCAGGCUUAUGACGUCAAGGACGAUAGGCCUGAGUGUGAAGUUAAGAGAAUGGAAGAGAAGAUAGACAAUGGAAUGCCAAUCUCAAAACAAAUCAUUGAAAAUUGAGAUGAAAAUGCCAAAUGUCUGCAUUCAUAUAAUGGAAAUAAUCGAGCUGUGGACAAUCAUCUAUGCUUUUGAUCAUUCUGGGAUUAGAGGAAUUCCUUACACUUAUGGAAUUCAACUGUGUCAAAAGAUGAGGAAUAAAAAAAUGAAUUUAAGUAAAAUGAGAACUUGUAUCCUAAAUUUGAACAGAACUCAAGGCCAACUUUUUGUAAUAAUAUUCUGACUGGGCUUUGUAACUGUGCUCUUUUACAGCCUCUUCUUUUUCUUCUGUCUUCUUCCCCGUCUUCUUUCUCAUUGGCCUCAGUUAAAACACACACACACACACAACAUCUAAAGGCCACAUAUAUGCUUUAGAUACGGUGCCAGGUUCUAGACAGAGCAAAAUGGGAGAGGAUAUGGGCCAUUUUCUUUUAGAACUUAACACGUUAAAAUCAUGUGUAAUGAGUGUGUGCAUUGAGUGAUAUACAGUCAGCUCUCCAUAUCCGUGGAUAAAAAGCAUAUGGAAAAACCACUGCAAAAAA